This 492-nucleotide ribosomal RNA is filed under the name uncultured bacterium. Its description in RNAcentral is "partial 16S ribosomal RNA". It matches the Rfam family "Bacterial small subunit ribosomal RNA", at positions 29 to 507 of the family's 1533-position model. The record is from RNAcentral.
AGUGAACGCUGGCGGUAGGCCUAACACAUGCAAGUCGAACGGCAGCACAGUAAGAGCUUGCUCUUACGGGUGGCGAGUGGCGGACGGGUGAGGAAUACAUCGGAAUCUACUUUUUCGUGGGGGAUAACGUAGGGAAACUUACGCUAAUACCGCAUACGACCUACGUGUGAAAGCAGGGGAUCUUCGGACCUUGCGCGAUUGAAUGAGCCGAUGUCGGAUUAGCUAGUUGGCGGGGUAAAGGCCCACCAAGGCGACGAUCCGUAGCUGGUCUGAGAGGAUGAUCAGCCACACUGGAACUGAGACACGGUCCAGACUCCUACGGGAGGAAGCAGUGGGGAAUAUUGGACAAUGGGCGAAAGCCUGAUCCAGCCAUACCGCGUGGGUGAAGAAGGACUUCGGGUUGGAAAGCCCUUUUGUUGGGAAAGAAAAGCAGCAGGUUAAUACCCCGCUGUUCUGACGGUACCCAAAGAAUAAGCACCGGCUAACUUCGUG